CUGUAUGUCUGAUGCUUUUUUGAGGAGAAUUCUUACAUACCCUCGUGCAACUACCAGAAUUCACUGCUUCACCAUACCAGCAAGUACUUUGGGCAAGGUUUUGUCACUGAGCUUUGCUGAAAGCUAUCUGAAGGGCACCGCAAUUAAUGUGUGACAGUUUUAACAUGUGGCAAAGGAAGCUGUCCUGAAAGAAGUUUGAUCUGUGUUGCACCGUGCGUGGUGGUUGUGAGCCAUCUUCUAAAUGAACACGAAGCACUGAGAAAGGAAACUGAUGAUGGAGGAAA
Molecule: long non-coding RNA, 284 nt
Organism: Lagopus leucura (white-tailed ptarmigan)
Lineage: Eukaryota; Metazoa; Chordata; Aves; Galliformes; Phasianidae
Exons: 3
Source: RefSeq, a predicted model, not a curated record